This 82-nucleotide small RNA is filed under the name Streptomyces sp. LaPpAH-108. RNAcentral's name for it is "nrdJ RNA". It matches the Rfam family "nrdJ RNA". Lineage: Bacteria; Bacillati; Actinomycetota; Actinomycetes; Kitasatosporales; Streptomycetaceae. The record is from Rfam by way of RNAcentral.
ACCUGUCGCGGGUGGCGCCGAAGGUGCCCGCGACGCAAGACAGAACACGUGUCCUGGGAACAUCGGGGCACUUCAGGGCGUU